RNAcentral lists this non-coding RNA (45 nucleotides) under Schistosoma mansoni. The record is from RNAcentral. Lineage: Eukaryota; Metazoa; Platyhelminthes; Trematoda; Strigeidida; Schistosomatidae.
AUCCAGCUGACGAGUACCAAAUGGGACGAAACGCGUGUCCUGGAU